CCUACGGGAGCUGCAGUGGGGAAUAUUGCACCAUGGGCGCAAGCCUGAUGCAGCCAUGCCGCGUGUGUGAAGAAGGCCUUCGGGUUGUAAAGCACUUUCAGCGGGGAGGAAGGCGGUGAGGUUAAUAACCUCAUCGAUUGACGUUACCCGCAGAAGAAGCACCGGCUAACUCCGUGCCAGCAGCCGCGGUAAUACGGAGGGUGCAAGCGUUAAUCGGAAUUACUGGGCGUAAAGCGCACGCAGGCGGUCUGUCAAGUCGGAUGUGAAAUCCCCGGGCUCAACCUGGGAACUGCAUUCGAAACUGGCAGGCUAGAGUCUUGUAGAGGGGGGUAGAAUUCCAGGUGUAGCGGUGAAAUGCGUAGAGAUCUGGAGGAAUACCGGUGGCGAAGGCGGCCCCCUGGACAAAGACUGACGCUCAGGUGCGAAAGCGUGGGGAGCAAACAGGAUUAGAUACCCCGGUAGUC
Molecule: ribosomal RNA, 464 nt
Filed under: uncultured Klebsiella sp.
Lineage: Bacteria; Pseudomonadati; Pseudomonadota; Gammaproteobacteria; Enterobacterales; Enterobacteriaceae
Description: bacterial SSU rRNA
Rfam family: Bacterial small subunit ribosomal RNA
Source: RNAcentral